AGUGAACGCUGGCGGUAGGCCUAACACAUGCAAGUCGAACGGCAGCACAGGAGAGCUUGCUCUCUGGGUGGCGAGUGGCGGACGGGUGAGGAAUACAUCGGAAUCUACUUUUUCGUGGGGGAUAACGUAGGGAAACUUACGCUAAUACCGCAUACGACCUACGGGUGAAAGCAGGGGACCUUCGGGCCUUGCGCGAUUGAAUGAGCCGAUGUCGGAUUAGCUAGUUGGCGGGGUAAAGGCCCACCAAGGCGACGAUCCGGAGCUGGUCUGAGGGGAUGAUCAGCCACACUGGAACGGAGACACGGGCCAGACUCCUACGGGAGGCAGCAGUGGGGAAUAUUGGACAAGGGGCGCAAGCCUGAUCCAGCCAUACCGCGUGGGUGAAGAAGGCCUUCGGGUUGUAAAGCCCUUUUGUUGGGAAAGAAAUCCAGCUGGCUAAUACCCGGUUGGGAUGACGGUACCCAAAGAAUAAGCACCGGCUAACUUCGUGCCAGCAGCCGCCGUAA
This 506-nucleotide ribosomal RNA is filed under the name uncultured bacterium. Its description in RNAcentral is "partial 16S ribosomal RNA". It matches the Rfam family "Bacterial small subunit ribosomal RNA", at positions 29 to 523 of the family's 1533-position model. The record is from RNAcentral.